GGCAGUUUUUGACCUUUUCCUUCGCGCUCUCUUUCUCUCUCAUCGAUACGCGCCUCUUGGUCUCUUUGGUUUGGAAGCUGUGAGCUAUUUUUCUAGGUCUGCAACUCCUGCAUUUUGACAAUAAUAUUUGGAAGAUGCUCUGUUCCGCUUGGGUUUGUCUUUCCGGCUUCUCUUUUCUGCUAUCUUUCUGCUCGCUGGCUGACAAGUAAAUAUCGAUGAGAACAAGAACAUAUAGAUAAGAUGUUCUGCAUGUUGCCACCCUCAAAGUCUCUACCAAUAAACGACAUCGUUGGAGGCAUUCUUUCUGUUUGCAACAUUGACUCAUGAAUGAGGAAUCUCAAUAGGAGACCCAGAGCACCAGUAGAGCAGUAGGAAAUUCAUUUAAAAUGAAAAG
Molecule: long non-coding RNA, 394 nt
Organism: Nicotiana tabacum (common tobacco)
Lineage: Eukaryota; Viridiplantae; Streptophyta; Magnoliopsida; Solanales; Solanaceae
Source: RefSeq, a predicted model, not a curated record